Molecule: transfer RNA, 77 nt
Filed under: Acidobacteria bacterium 21-70-11
Lineage: Bacteria; Pseudomonadati; Acidobacteriota
Also listed under: 4 other names
Description: tRNA-Pro
Rfam family: tRNA
About the family: Transfer RNA (tRNA) molecules are approximately 80 nucleotides in length. Their secondary structure includes four short double-helical elements and three loops (D, anti-codon, and T loops).
Source: RNAcentral
CGGGACGUGGCGCAGCCUGGUAGCGCACUUGAAUGGGGUUCAAGGGGUCGGGGGUUCGAAUCCCCCCGUCCCGACCA